GCCCCCCCCUUCCCCAAGUCCACUUUGCAAGAGCAAGAAGAGAAGACGUGGAUCUCUCCCCGGAUCCAGCAACGCCUGAGCGAUCGCCUCUCCCUGGUUGAUUCCCUUCCUCCGUCUGAUCUCUCCCUGUGCAAAGACCUCCCCCGCCCCAAAAAGCCAGACUCGCUAAGGGUUAAAUCCCACCCACCCCCGCAUUUCAGGGAGAGUCACAUCCUGCUGCAUUUGGGUCUGGACGGGUGAGUGGAAUUUGUGGGGCGGGGGGGGGGGGAGGUGAUGCCUUCCCACGGGCAGGAUGGGGAGUGGGCGUGUGCGUGUGUGUGUGUGUGUUGUGUGUUGCGGACUCCGGGCAUCCGAAUCAAGAGUUGCCCGCGUUGGGCUGGCAGCGACUCUCCAAAGCUCCGGAGGAAGGACACUCCCAGCCCUACCUACAGACGCCGCAUGUAGGGUUUGAACCCGGGACCGUCUGCAUGCGAGGCAGACGCCCUGCCAUUGAGCUAUGCUCCUUAGCAUGGGCGUAGGGAGUCAGAGAAUUGCAGAGUUGCAAAGGAGCACGAGGGACAUCCUAGCCCAAGCUCCUGCAAUGCAGGAAUCUUUUGCCCGAUGUGGGUCUGGAAGCCACGACCCUGUGAGUGUCGUGCUCUACAAAUAUGUUUUGGGAGGGUGGUUUAUUGGUUUGUUUUUUGUUCCCACGGACUCAGCUAAAGAGAGAGAGCGAGAGAGAGCGCGCGCGCGAGAGAGAGAGAGUGCUGUCCACAGCUACCAGUUUGGGAGCAUCUCUUGGAAGACCUUUGUAUGCCAACAGGCCUAUGCAGGUUUCUAGAAUGUCCCCAGUAGCCAGUCAUUUUAAUGAUUUCUUCAUACAGUGGUACCUCGAGUUACAGACGCUUCUGGUUACAGAUGCUUCAGGUUACAGACUCUGCUAACCCAGAAAUAGUACCUCGGGUUAAGAACUUCGCUUCAGGAUGAGAACAGAAAUCGUGCUCUGGCGGGGCGGCAGCAGCAGGAGGCCCCAUUAUGUAAAGUGGUGCUUCAGGUUAAGAACAGUUUCAGGUUAAGAACGGACCUCCAGAACAAAUUCAGUUCUUAACCCCAGGUACUGCUUUUUAAUGUUGCUGUGUGGUUCUGAUGUUUAGCAAGAGAAAAGUGUCAGCUUUUAAGUUACAAAGGACUCUUUGUCUGGAUUAUAUAUAUACAGUGGUACCUCUGGUUGCAAACGGGAUCCGUUCUGGACGCCCGUUCGCAACAUGAAAAGAGCACAACCCGCAGCGGCGCGUCUGCGCACGUGCAGGUUGCGAUACGGUGCUUCUGUGCAUGCACGUGACAUCGUUUUGUGCUUUUGCGCAUGCGGCGAAACCCGGAAGUAACCCUUUCCGAUCCUUCUGGGUUGCCGCGGGACGUAACCUGAAGCAAACGUAAUAUGAAGUAUGACUGUAUACAUACACACACACACAGUGACAACAAGAGAUAGGGGACAGUCAUAGAAUCAUAGUGUUAAAAGGAACCCUGUCCGUCAUCUAUUCCAACCCCCUGCAAUGCAGGAAUACGCAGCUGUCCCAUAUGGGGAUCGAACCUGCAACCUUGGCGUUAUCAGCACCACACUCUAACCAACGGAGCUACAUCCAGGGGAAAGAGAGACAGGGGAAGAAUGUUUCUGAAUGAGGAUUGGUGAUCUCUGGUUCUUCCUGUUUGUUUCUGGAGGGGAGAUUUUCUUUCCUGCAGGGCAGUGCUCGGAUUGACAGCUGGAAACAUUCAGCUUGCUUGGAAGCUGUAUGUUAACGUCCUUCCUUGAACUUGUGGCAGUAAUCAGGAGGCCUCUCCCCACAGGUCCGAGAUGGAUCUUUCGGGCACAGCAGGAGACAGAGCGGGAGGAGACCCCGGUGCCACCAAGACUGGGAGCAGCGGAGGAUUCUGGGAAGGAACGGUGAAGAAGAUCCUAAGUUCGGGAGAAGCUGGCACAGACGUUCGGCACCAGCAGUUCAGGGAGUUUGGCUACCAGGAGGCUGAGGGCCCCCGAGAGGUUUGCAGCCGACUCCACAGUCUCUGCCGUCGGUGGCUGAAGCCAGAAAGGCUCACCAAGGCCCAGAUCCUGGACCUGGUGGUCUUGGAGCAGUUCCUGGCUGUCCUCCCCCCGGAGAUGGAGAACUGGGUCAGGGAGUGCGGAGUGGAGACCAGUUCACAGGCGGUGGCCUUGGCAGAAGGCUUCCUCCUGAGCCAGACAGAAGAGAGGAGGCAGGAAGAGAGACAGGUGAGAGGGUUAUCCCCACCCCACCCCAAUCAUCCAGGCAGUUCCAAGGGACUGAGAAGGCAGCCGUGGUUCUGAAUACCAGUUUCUGGAAACUGCAGCCGAGGAGAGUGUUAUUGUGCUGCUUCGGUCUAGCUUGCUGGUUUCCCACUGUAGAGUUGGAAGGGACCUCCCAAGCUUAUUCUAGCCCAGCAGUUCUCAACCUGUGGGUCCCCAGAUGUUGUUGGACUACAGCCCCCAUCAUCUCUGAGCUCUGGCCUUGCUAGCUAGGGGGGAUGGGAGUUGUAGUUCAACAACAUCUGGGGACCCACAGGUUGAGAAAGGCUGAUUUCUAGUCCAACCCCCUGCAAUGCAGGAAUCUCAGCUAAAGCAUCCAUGACAGUUGGCCACCCAACCUCUGCUUAAAAACCUCUAAGGAAGGAGAGUCCACAAGCUCCCGAGGGAAACAGCUCUUAACUGUUAGAAUUUCCCCCCAUAGAUUUAGUCGGAAUCUCGCUUUUUGUAACUUGAAACCAUGGGUUUCAGUCCUACUCUCCAGAGCAGGAGAAAAGCAGCUUGUUCCCUGCAUGUGACAGCCGUUGAGAUAUUUGAAGAUGGCUAUCAUAUUUCCUCUUUUCCGGGCUAAACAUACCCAGCUCCUUCAACCAGUGAAGGCGGUGAAGGUCCUGUGUGAGUGUCUGGAGGUGGUUGGAGGAUGGAUGGCGGCUAACAGACUGAGGUUGAAUCCUGACAAGAUAGAAGUACUCUUUUGGGGGGACAGGAGGCAGGCAGGUGUGGAGGACUCCCUGGUCCUGAAUGGGGUAACUGUGUCCCUGAAGGACCAGGUGCGCAGCCUGGGAGUCAUUCUGGACUCACAGCUGUCCAUGGAGGCGCAAGUCAAUUCUGUGUCCAGGGCAACUGCUUACCAGCUCCAUCUGGUACGCAGGCUGAGACCCUACCUGCCUGCAGACUGUCUUGCCAGACUGUCCGCUCUAGUUAUCUCCUGCUUGGACUACUGCAAUGUACUCUACGUGGGGCUACCUUUGAAGGUGACCCGGAAACUACAACUAAUCCAGAAUGCAGCAGCUAGACUGGUGACUGGGAGCAGCCACCGAGACCACAUAACACCGGUCUUGAAAGACCUACAUUGGCUCCCAGUACAUUUCCGAGCACAAUUCAAAGUGUUGGUGCUGACCUUUAAAGCCCUAAACGGCCUCAUUCCUGUAUACUUGAAGGAUAAUCUCCACCCCCAUCGUUCAGCCCCGACACUGAGGUCCAGCGCCAAGGGCCUUCUGGCGGUUCCCUCACUGCGAGAAGUCAAGUUACAGGGAACCAGGCAGAGGGCCUUCUCGGUAGUGGCGCCCACCCUGUGGAACGCCCUCCCACCAAAUGUCAAAGAGAACAACUACCACCAGACUUUUAGAAGACAUCUGAAGGCAGCCCUCUUUAGGGAAGCUUUUAAUGUUUGAUGCAUUACUGUAUUUUAAUAUUUUGUUGGAAGCCACCCAGAGUGGCUGGGGAAGCCCAGCCAGAUGGGCGGGGUAUAAAUAAUAAAAUAAUAAUAACAAUAAUAAUAAUAAUAAUAAUAAUAAUUAUUAUUAUUAUUAUUAUUAACCAUUCCUCAUAAGGCUCGAUGUGCCAUUGGCCUGUUCCAGCAGGCCCUUAUGUUCUUAAUACAGGUAUAGAUUGGUUGUUCAUCCUUCACCCGGAAGUCCCAGCACGGGAAUACACACAAUCAUUAAAUGGGAUUAAGCCUUUAUAACAUUUACUAGAGCCACGGAGAAGGUCCUCUUUCCGCCUCACAGCUCCACUGGUUUCUGCAAUAGGGUUUUGCCAGAAGACUUGAGGGAGGAGGGCAAGAAUCCAUUGCUUGGUUUGCACUGUCCUUCCUAACUUCCUCUCCCUCUUCCCUCUCUGGGUGCCUUGCUUCUGUUUCAGGUGCAAAGCCUGUCCUUAGAUGUGGCCGUUGAUUCCCGCGAGUCAGAGAAGGACCCAACUGACCGUUGUUCAAAGCCCCUCUCGUGGGGCAUCGCCCAGGAGGUACAAAGUCGGAAUGAUUCAUUGGGUAAGGGAUGAUCCUUUGGGCUUCAGAACCGCAGGAUUUUGUGAAGUAUCAGCUCUCCUCCUCCUUCUCCUUCUCUGUUUUCUCCCUCCGAUGCCCCCUAUAUUUGGUAACGCUUAAUUCCAUGGCCAUCUCUAAGCAGCUUGCAAUGAAACUGAGAAACAACAACAGGUCUUAUAAGGGGGAGAUCGUUAUUCCAGUUUGUAAUGGCAUCAGAUUUGAAAUUGUUUUUACAUAUGAAAGCAUUUUUAAAUGUGUGUGUGUUUUUUAAAGAAGUUUCUCAUAAUUAUUUUUAUAUGCGAAGCUGUGCAAUUUUAUUUUCUGUUUUACAAUUUCACAAAUUGAAUUUUGGUGUAACUUAACGACAACUUAAAAUACAUAAAAUAUAACUUGAGAACAAAUUAAAAACCCAAAAUCCACAAGUGCUUUCCUAUUAUUGCAGCUGUUGCGAAGUUGUGUGAUAUUGUCAUCUUUUUACUAUUUUUUGAGGGGGGGCGUUGUUACUAAUUUACUGUGAAGUGGCUUUUGAGAUACGUUAUAGGAAGUUUCAUACAUGGAAUCAAAUAAAUAGUUGGAAUUAAAAUUAACAAUGACACCCCCACAAAGCAAAGCAUAGUAGCACACCCUGAAUAUUAUUAUUGUUAAUUGUAAUAAUAGUAGUGUUUCUUGGUCGCUCUACUCGUAAAAUAAUAAUGCAAAGCAACUUUCCAGCAUGGUAGACAUGCUAAAAGCAAUUACAAUAAUCGCAAUCAAUAUAAAACUGAAAAGCGCACACAUCAAUACUAGCUUUCCCACCAGUUGAGGAGUGGCCGUGCUCUCAGACAGAACCAUCUCCAAAUUUCCCCCUGCAUCUUUCAAAUUUGUUUGCUUAUUUUUCAGUCGCUUGUGCAAAUAAAGUGAGGGUAAAUUGUGGGUUUGCUGUAUUUUUUAAGGAUCCUCCUUAUUUCUGUGAUUGUGAGUUGUUUUAAACUUUUUAAAUGUUUUAAUUUCUGUAACCUACCAUGGUACCUUUGGGUGAAGGGCAGGGUAAUAAUAAUAAUAAUAAUAAUAAUAAUAAUGUUCUUUUCUCCUGCUGUGCUCUUACCAGGUUUUUCUGUCUGAUUUCAGCAGGUGAUGGGGGGGAUGAGAAACAUGGAGACCAACAUGCCAGGCCAGUAGGGGGAAGCAAGAUUCAGGAGAUGGAAGAGAACUUCAGGACUCCAGGAGGAGAGAAUAAGCAGAAGAAAAACCCAGCAGAGGAAGGCGAGAAGACAUAUUGGCCAGGGAUUAACCUCCACGAAGUUCCAGUUCAGGAACACAAUCCCAAGGGAAAGAAAAGGAAUAUCUGCCCCGUGUGUGGGAAACACUUCAGCUACAAAUCAGAUCUCAGUGUUCAUAGGAGAAUCCACACGAGUCUGAAGCCACACAGAUGUUUGGAGUGCGGGGUGAGCUUUAGGCAGAGCGCACACCUCGCUACUCAUCAGACAAUCCACACGGGCGAAAAGCCAUAUCAGUGCUCAUUGUGCGGAAAGAGCUUUCGGCAGCGUGCCAACUUCACAUCACAUCAGAGAACCCACACGGGAAAGAGGCCGUAUCACUGCUCCGAGUGUGGGAAGAGCUUCAGUCGGAACACAACCCUCACAACCUUGAUGGUGUUUCCUGCUUGGCAGGGGGUUGGACUCGAUGGCCCUUGUGGUCUCUUCCAACUCUAUGAUUCUAUGAUUUCUCACUGCCCAUCUAAGGAAACACACGGGAGAGAAACCCUACAGCUGUUCCGUGUGCUGCCGGAACUUUUGCGACAAGUCGGGCCUGAACCUGCACCAGUUAAUUCAUUCAAAGGACAAGCCUCAUAAAUGCCUGGUGUGCGGCAAGAGCUUCAUCCGGCGCUCGCAGCUGACCUCCCACGAAGGGAUCCACACAGGGGAGAAACUGUUGAUUUAGAGCAGAGCCUGUCGUGCCCAGCGGAAGGAUGAGUAAUACGUGCUACAUACUCUAUAUUGCUUUAUUUACAGUUCAAAGCUGGUAUAUUACAGAAAGACAUCUUGCCUCUGCAGGAGCAGAAAAUGCAUCCUCUCUCCUCAACAGCUCGGAGAGAAUCACACAGUGAAAAACAGGCAACCAGUGUACGUCACAUCCAGUCUCCUUUCCCGUGAGAAACUCCAACAGUACAGACUGUGGAAUGUAAACACCUGUCUCGUGACAAGCAGAGCUGCACAGUGAAGGAAAGCAGAAACCAACAUCCUCCCCCUUUCUGUGAACAUCACUGGGCAGCGUGUUUGUACAAUAUCAGUACAAACCCAACUUCUGCACAUAGGUACAGUGUUGAUCCCUUGAUACAAUCUUGGACAAUACAUCAGCAGGAAUUUCAUUACCUGGCAUAUAGGACACUGUUACGAGUCCUUUCUGAAUACAUUCCCUAGCAUGCUGCAACUUUAAUUGUAAGUGCUUUGUGCUUUGCUUACAACCUUCAGACUUCAGCAAAGCCAAACAUGCUUUGUUGUCCUGGUAAACCUGGAUUGGACAUUUGACAGGAAUUUUCAUAUCUUUGCACAAUUGUACUAACCAUUCACAAUCCUUAAGUGAAUAAGACAGUGCAUUCAGUUCGGCUUCACAAGUACUUAAGCUAACUGUUGUUUGCUUCUUGCAUGACCAAUCAAACAGACUCUGAUUGUACAUGUAGCAAACUCCAGACGUACUUUUCCUGUCUGUAGUGUCACUUCCAAAACUUGCAUCUGCAAAUAUCUCAAGACCACCAGACUUCUGAUUGUUAAAUCUCAG
This is a non-coding RNA of Podarcis lilfordi (Lilford's wall lizard), 7040 nucleotides long. NCBI's taxonomy places the organism in Eukaryota, Metazoa, Chordata, Lepidosauria, Squamata, Lacertidae. The record is from the annotation of a GenBank genome assembly.